Molecule: microRNA precursor, 60 nt
Filed under: Chrysemys picta bellii (western painted turtle)
Lineage: Eukaryota; Metazoa; Chordata; Testudines; Emydidae
Description: Cpi-Mir-727-v2_pre stem-loop
Source: RNAcentral
AGUCUUCAAUUCCUCCCAGCCCAUUAAAUGGAAACUGAGUUGAGGCGAGUUGAAGACUAA